GCGCGCGCACGCACGGGAGCGAGCGCGCCCCCCGCCCCGUCGAGGCUGCUGUCAGCGGUGACACAUCCCAGACUCCGGCGCUACUGUAGGGCAGAUUAAGUUUCUCAGGCGAAACCUCCCGUCCUUCCGCCCUCCGCCCUCCCUUCUUCCACCGACGUCCUCCCCAACCAGGGAGAAACCUUCCCCAGAUCCUGCUGCUGCAGCCCCACUUCGUCAGCUCCGGCGGGGAAAGUCCAGGCCGUCUUUCAGGGCUCCAGUUUAGGGACUUUCUCCCCGCCCUCCUAACCUCUCCGCUCCCCCAGAACAACCCGCCGUCUCAGUUCUCCUUCCUCGUCUCAGCCUCUUUCCCCCAAACGACGCCGAGAGAUCGACGCCGCUGAAACGCACCGGGAAGGGAAUUCAGGGUUGUUGUGGAAAUUACAUGAGGAGUGGUAAGAACCAUGCACACUACCUUGAGAUCCUUGGAGGAAAAGGCAGCAUAGCUCAAGGCCGUAAACACACCAUUAAGGUUUUGUUCAGAGGCAAGUGAAGGAAAGAACUCUAAAGAGACUUCUCCGUUCCAACGUUUCCAUUAAGUGACUAUUGAAGAGGCACUCGGGAAAAGUUGUCAGAUCCAUUCUGUUCACGAUCCGGUAGGAAUAAACAUCAAAAUAUGUACAUGUACCACUUA
This is a long non-coding RNA of Podarcis raffonei (Aeolian wall lizard), 670 nucleotides long. RefSeq lists it as uncharacterized. NCBI's taxonomy places the organism in Eukaryota, Metazoa, Chordata, Lepidosauria, Squamata, Lacertidae. The transcript has 3 exons. The record is from RefSeq and is a predicted model, not a curated record.